CCUACGGGUGGCAGCAGUGGGGAAUAUUGCGCAAUGGGCGAAAGCCUGACGCAGCGACGCCGCGUGAGGGAUGAAGGUCUUCGGAUCGUAAACCUCUGUCAGCAGGGAAGAACGGUCACUGUGCUAAUCAGCAGUGAAUUGACGGUACCUGCAAAGGAAGCACCGGCUAACUCCGUGCCAGCAGCCGCGGUAAUACGGAGGGUGCGAGCGUUAAUCGGAAUUACUGGGCGUAAGGGGCUCGUAGGCGGUAUGUCAAGUCAAGGGUGAAAUCCCCGCGCUCAACGUGGGAACUGCCUUUGAAACUGGGAAACGGGAGUGGGUGAGAGGAUAGUGGAAGUCCAGGUGUAGGAGUGAAAUCCGUAGAUAUCUGGAGGAACAUCAGUGGCGAAGGCGACUAUCUGGCACAUAACUGACGCUGAGGAGCGAAAGCGUGGGUAGCAAACAGGAUUAGAUACCCGGGUAGUC
Molecule: ribosomal RNA, 465 nt
Filed under: uncultured bacterium
Lineage: Bacteria
Description: partial 16S ribosomal RNA
Rfam family: Bacterial small subunit ribosomal RNA
Source: RNAcentral